This 24-nucleotide non-coding RNA is filed under the name Arabidopsis thaliana (thale cress). The record is from RNAcentral. Lineage: Eukaryota; Viridiplantae; Streptophyta; Magnoliopsida; Brassicales; Brassicaceae.
GUUGUUCAGUGCAAAGUUUUUUGC